AAACUGGGCCCAUACACGGGGCGGGGGGGCAAGGGAGAGGGAAGAAAAAGGCAGACCACUCCACAUUGGUAGGUGGCAGGUUUAAUAAGCAAGAGAACUUAGUUACGAGGCACGUGCUUGUCUUCGGCAGCUGCAAGAAGAGCAGAUCUUCUCACCUGCCCACCAGAAAGACCAAAAUACCCAUCUGGAGAAGGAUGGCCUCUUCUUCAAGUGAUCACCACCACACUACAGUAGGUGCAGUCAGAUACGAUUCCUCCAUCUAUCAAACAAGGUCAAGUCUAACAAUCAAAGAGUAUUAGCAUAAAGACCCUCACAUCCGUAAUCUACAAUACUGCUGUAUUGGUUCCCUGGAGAUGCCAAAACAAAGUACCACAAAUUCGGAGGCUUAAGCAACAGAAAUUUAUUGUCUCAUAGUCCUGGAGGCUGGAAGUGCAAAGUCAAGGAUUAUGGCAAGGCAGCUUGAGAGUAACUGAUGAGUUUCUGUUACCAUCUGCCAAGAGCAGAGGAGCAUUCCUCUAUGGCUUUCUUCUUAAUGGGAAAAUGAGCACGUUUACGUACAUCUUUGUCUAAUUUGGGG
Molecule: long non-coding RNA, 577 nt
Filed under: Equus caballus (horse)
Lineage: Eukaryota; Metazoa; Chordata; Mammalia; Perissodactyla; Equidae
Description: lncRNA (ENSECAG00000052041.1)
Source: RNAcentral